UGAGGAAUAUUGGACAAUGGGCGCAAGCCUGAUCCAGCCAUGCCGCGUGCAGGAAGAAGCAUCUAUGGUGUGUAAACUGCUUUUGUACGGGAAGAAACACUCCUACGUGUAGGCGCUUGACGGUACCGUAAGAAUAAGGAUCGGCUAACUCCGUGCCAGCAGCCGCGGUAAUACGGAGGAUGCAAGCGUUAUCCGGAUUCAUUGGGUUUAAAGGGUGCGUAGGCGGCUUUUUAAGUCAGUGGUGAAAUCCUGUCGCUCAACGAUAGAAUUGCCAUUGAUACUGAGAAGCUUGAGUUCAGUUGAGGUAAGCGGAAUAUGUAGUGUAGCGGUGAAAUGCUUAGAUAUUACAUGGAAUACCAAUUGCGAAGGCAGGUUACUACUUGUGGAUUGACGCUGAUGGACGAAAGCGUGGGGAGCGAACA
RNAcentral lists this ribosomal RNA (422 nucleotides) under uncultured bacterium. RNAcentral's name for it is "bacterial SSU rRNA". It matches the Rfam family "Bacterial small subunit ribosomal RNA", at positions 355 to 774 of the family's 1533-position model. The record is from RNAcentral.